Molecule: ribosomal RNA, 495 nt
Filed under: uncultured bacterium
Lineage: Bacteria
Description: partial 16S ribosomal RNA
Rfam family: Bacterial small subunit ribosomal RNA
Source: RNAcentral
GACGAACGCUGGCGGCGUGCCUAAUACAUGCAAGUAGAACGCUGAAGGAGGAGCUUGCUUCUCCGGAUGAGUUGCGAACGGGUGAGUAACGCGUAGGUAACCUGCCUGGUAGCGGGGGAUAACUAUUGGAAACGAUAGCUAAUACCGCAUAACAGUAGAUAUCGCAUGAUAUCUGCUUGAAAGGUGCAAUUGCAUCACUACCAGAUGGACCUGCGUUGUAUUAGCUAGUUGGUGAGGUAACGGCUCACCAAGGCGACGAUACAUAGCCGACCUGAGAGGGUGAUCGGCCACACUGGGACUGAGACACGGCCCAGACUCCUACGGGAGGCAGCAGUAGGGAAUCUUCGGCGAUGGACGGAAGUCUGACCGAGCAACGCCGCGUGAGUGAAGAAGGUUUUCGGAUCGUAAAGCUCUGUUGUAAGAGAAGAACGAGUGUGAGAGUGGAAAGUUCACACUGUGACGGUAGCUUACCAGAAAGGGACGGCUAACUACGUG